GAUUUUUACAAGAUUUUUUUUUUCUUUGUCUCUCUAGCAGUACCUGGCAUGACCCAAAGCUGUUUGUAAUACAACUGCCUCACUGGGAGACUGCUUUUUGAGAAGUUCUUUAAAGAACAUCAGAAAGGCCAUACUUGCUCAGAGUAAAGGUCCAUCUGGCUCAACAUCCUGUCCCUGGGCAGUGGCCAAGAAUGGAUGCCUGGGGCACAGCUGAACCACUUCUCCUUUGCUGCACACACCUCCAGGCUGACCGUAACGAGUGAGGAGGGAGUAUAAGGCCAGCUGCCCUCACACUAUUUCUGGCAAGAAUGGGAGCAGGUCCUGCAGGAGUCUGUGCACCAGCCUCCUGAUCUCCCCAAGACUGGAGCUGCUUGUGAAAUUAGUCCAGGCAUUUUACUGUUUCCAUGGAAACACUGAGGCAACUUAUCAACAGUUUGCUGCACAGUUGACAGACUGGUAAAGCUCUGAAGUUGGACCUUUAAACAAACUAAAGCUUACAGGUGGCCAUGCACACGUGAGUACACCCAUGAUGGAUAUGGAUGCCAUGGAUAAGAACUGGACUGCGAUUCUCCAGCCUUUUUAUAGCAGUUACUGAACAGAUGGUGAGCUACCAUUGUUGUUAUUUCAUAUUCCAGCCUCAUGGAGCAGGGUUGUGGGCUAGCAAUUUCUUUUUGCCAGCUUGGGAUCAACAGAUCUUGAAAAGUCACAACGUUACUAUUAUUCCAUUCAUCCCUAGAGACCCACAAAGACUGGGGCUACUCGUACUAAGUACCUACACAGGAUAGAGGCUAGUAUGAAUCCCUCAUCCCCAACAGUUUAAGUGAAUAUGGAUCUAUUUUUGGCAUUAGCCUGUGAGCUAUAUAUAGAAUAUCCUGAAUUCCUUUGUGUUGGUGUACCUUUUUGCUGAAAGGGACAUGGUUUGUGUAUGAUCGGGUGGGUGGUUCAUACUCCCAGCUUCUUUUGGCAAUAACUGUUCAUCACACACUCUGAAUUCCUGCAGUGACCUGUUGAAAGUGAUUUACCUGUACUCGUUUUAUGUUGUGCAGGAAUAGAGUACAUGUGUGUAUGUAGGUGACUAGUAUGUUUGUUGUGGGGCAAUAGGGACAGCUGGUUCAGGCAUGAUCACUUUUAAAGCUACUUUAGUGUGAUAUCAAGUGUUCAGCUGAUGAUACCAAUCCUGUCAGGUUAAGUACACAAGGACAUAAAAAAUCUUGAAGUCAAAGCUGAUCUGAGAACUUGAAACCACAAGCAUUGUUUCUGCUAGACAGCAGGAUGACAGAAGCUGCAACAAACCAUUCUUAUAUAACGAAGCAAUUUAUGUUUUCCCAGUCUCGCAAGUUUUUGAAAACAGCUUUCUCAGGCUUUCCACUGAUAACACUUUGAGGCUUUUUCAGGGAAAGUAUGGUAAAUAAGCAGUCACUAUUGCAAGCAUGUAUUUUAUCACUGUUUUUUACUCUUAGCCCUGAUAGUCACCCCCCCCUAGAAAGAGAACAAAGCAAUGAAAUUUGCAGUUUUUCCAAUCCAUUUUUUAUCCUAAUCUUCCUGAAAUAUUACAUUACAAAAGCUGCAAUGGCAGACUCCUCAGACAAAGCUGUGCCACACAUACGAAUUAAAAAUAAAUUAUAAAUGUCUCUGUACAGGAAAAAAAUGCGUUUUUUCAUCAAAGCAUUGAAUGAACUAAAGAGAAUGUCUCCUA
Molecule: long non-coding RNA, 1696 nt
Organism: Anas platyrhynchos (mallard)
Lineage: Eukaryota; Metazoa; Chordata; Aves; Anseriformes; Anatidae
Source: RefSeq, a predicted model, not a curated record